AGUCUUUUCUCUUUUUGUGGAAUAUUGUAUAUGUUCUCUUUUUGUGGAAUGUUUAGUCUUUUCUCUUUUUGUGGAAUUUUUAUUUUAAUUGAAAAAAAGACUUUGCAAUCAUAACACAUUUCCAAUAAAGAUUUAUAAAGCUGUCCUUAUCCUAUGAUCACAUUGACCCCUAUUACAACUCAAACUACUGCCCCAAUUCAUUU
Molecule: non-coding RNA, 203 nt
Organism: Biomphalaria pfeifferi
Lineage: Eukaryota; Metazoa; Mollusca; Gastropoda; Planorbidae
Source: the annotation of a GenBank genome assembly